AGGAGAGUGGGUGAGUUGUGUUUAGUCUCUUUGCUAAAGAAAUUAGGCAAAGCUAAAAAGAGUUUGGUGGCUAGUACUAUGUCUGGGACCCUAUAUGUACUGUUGAUGAAGUUAGGUGCUGUUCUGAGCAUUAUUUGUGGAUAUAGAGUGGCGUUUUGGUUGAGGUUUGCACGUGGAGAUGUAGACCGCUGUGUAUUGCUAUCAUGCGGUCGUUACUAAAGUUGGUAUAACUAGAGAAGCAAGUGGUCGGCAACAUUUAUCUCUAGCGGGGGUCUAACUCGGUGUUACGGUGUGUUUGACCCUAACUUAAAUUUACGCUGGAAUAUCCCUUUAAUUGGUAAUUGACUCUGUAACUUGAUAGUGCUGGAAAGUCCUGGCAAAUGCAGCUUUCCAUACACACACUCAUGAAUCAGGAUAUAAUCAUGGAAACAAUCAUCACAGGUAGCCAAGGGCAUUCAACUUGGUCCAAAAACUUUUUAGCGAGUCUACUGUCAGGGAAACUACCUCAGAGUCUGGCUGCAGAUACAAAGAAUUAGGACCCUGUCUCCUACAAGUUCUCCUGUGAGAUGUGGGACAGUUAACCAGCCUUAAUCUGAGGAUCCAAGAGGCCUUGCUGUACUGUACGAGGAGAGAGGUUUAGUAAUGUGAGUCAGGAAGAGUUACUGCAGGGCUUUGAACAUAAAAAAGGAGAAUCUUGGAAGGAAGCUCCGGAUACAUUUGCAGGCCUUUGCAUCCAGCAGCAGCAGCAGCAGCACUGUGUAAGCUGAAGAUGGUGCCCAGAGACCCGCAAACGAAAGGUUGUUGCAAUAAUGGAGUCAAGAUGAUAUAAGGGCAUGUUUACUAAUGAGUUUGGAGUGCACAGGGCUAAGAGUGUGUAAUGCAUCAGCAUGUCAUCUGAUAUAAGCCUAUUGAACUUCUUACAGUUUGUUACUUGUGUCGUCUUCAAACAGUCUGAAUCAGCGAGUCAAAAAAGGGUGUGUGUUUGGUGCAAAGCUUUUACCAUUUUCCUAGUUUAAGCACCAAAGUGCCGGCGCAUUGUGAAUAUUUUUGUUUAACAUUGCUGUGUUUCACUUUAAGCAUCUCCAGUGGGAAAUUGAAGUGGAGGUUGUGCUGCUGCUAUUCCCUUUUGGUUUCCUUUGGAGAAUAAAUGUUUUCUGUGAUCAAAGAGAGAUUUAGGCAACACGUAUUUAUCUCCUGAAACAAAACAACACAGAUACAGUUUUACUCAAAGUUAUUCCCCCUCCUCUCUUUCUCUCUCUGGGCAGAGUCAUCUGGCUUUAUCACUAGCAGCGUGGCUUACUGGGGUCUAGAAGCUGCACCCAGCAGCUCAGUGGGACUUUUUAGGGAUUGCUGCUUAAAGGGAUAUUCCGGCACAAAUUUAAAUUAGUGUCAAACACACUGUAACACCGAGUUAGACCCCCUCUAGAGAUGAAUUUUGCCGACCACUUGCUUCUCUAGUUAUACCAACUUUAGUAAUGACCGCAUGAUAGCAAUACACAGCGGUCUACGUCUCCAUGUGCAAACCUCAACCAAAACGCCACUCUAUAUCCACAAAUAAUGCUCAGAACAGCACCUAACUUCAUCAACAGUACAUAUAGGGUCCCAGACAUAGUACUAGCCACCAAACUCUUUUUAGCUUUGCCUGAUUACUUUAGCAAAGAGACUAAACACAACUCACCCACUCUCCUAAAGCUGAGGGCACUCAAAGAAAAAGGUUAGGAACCGCAGAUCUAAACAGGAAAAAGUUGCAAUGGCCUCUUCCAAUGACCACAAACGCCAACUCCAA
This 1786-nucleotide long non-coding RNA is filed under the name Xyrichtys novacula (pearly razorfish). The record is from RNAcentral. Lineage: Eukaryota; Metazoa; Chordata; Actinopteri; Labriformes; Labridae.